GACGAACGCUGGCGGCGUGCUUAACACAUGCAAGUCGAACGGUGAAGCGCCUUCCUUUUUGGUGGGUGUGGAUGAGUGGCGAACGGGUGAGUAACACGUGAGUAACCUGCCCCCUUCUUCUGGAUAACCGCAUGAAAGUGUGGCUAAUACGGGAUAUUCUGGGUCUGUCGCAUGAUGGGUCUGGGAAAGAUAUUGUUUCGGUGGGGGAUGGGCUCGCGGCCUAUCAGCUUGUUGGUGGGGUGAUGGCCUACCGAGGCGGUGACGGGUAGCCGGCCUGAGAGGGUGAACGGUCACACUGGGACUGAGACACGGAGCAGACUCCUACGGGAGGCAGCAGUGGGGAAUAUUGCACAAUGGGCGCAAGCCUGAUGCAGCGACGCCGCGUGAGGGAUGGAGGCCUUCGGGUUGUGAACCUCUUUCGCCAGUGAAGCAGGCCUGCCUCGUUUGUGGGUGGGUUGACGGUAGCUGGAUAAGAAGCGCCGGCUAACUACGUG
This 494-nucleotide ribosomal RNA is filed under the name uncultured bacterium. RNAcentral describes it as "partial 16S ribosomal RNA". It matches the Rfam family "Bacterial small subunit ribosomal RNA", at positions 28 to 507 of the family's 1533-position model. The record is from RNAcentral.